AAGAAGCAUCCUGUCUGCAAUGCUUCUCACAAGUAUUUGAAGAAACAAGAUGCUUGGGGAAAAGUACUAUGAUCAGUGUAAUAUAGCCUUAUUUGAGAGGAGCUGUCUCAUCACUUUAGCAGGAUGGUGUAAACCAGGAUGACUUUAACAGUUUCAUCAUUUUUUAUGUAAUUUCAAAGCUUCAGUUGUCUCAUUUCUGUUAAGUAUUGAGUGUAUUAAGUAUUGAAUUGACGUGCUGAAGGAAGCUAAUGGUUCUAGUGCUGAAGGAA
Molecule: long non-coding RNA, 269 nt
Organism: Panicum virgatum (switchgrass)
Lineage: Eukaryota; Viridiplantae; Streptophyta; Magnoliopsida; Poales; Poaceae
Exons: 2
Source: RefSeq, a predicted model, not a curated record